GACGAACGCUGGCGGCGUGCUUAACACAUGCAAGUCGAACGGUCCUGUUUUUGAAGCGCUUCGGCGUGGAGGGGACGGGGCAGUGGCGCACGGGUGAGUAAUGCGCGAGGACCUGCCCGCGGGAGGGGGACAGCAGUUGGAAACGGCUGGUGAUACCCCGUAGGCCGGGAGGUGAAAGGGCGGAGACGCCCGCCUGCGGAUGGACUCGCGUCCUAUCAGCUAGUUGGUGAGGCAACGGCUCACCAAGGCGACGACGGGUAGCCGGCCUGAGAGGGUGUCCGGCCACACUGGAACUGAGACACGGUCCAGACUCCUACGGGAGGCAGCAGUGGGGAAUUUUGGGCAAUGGGGGAGACCCUGACCCAGCGACGCCGCGUGAGGGACGAAGGCCCUUGGGUCGUAAACCUCUUUUGCAGGGGAAGAAGAAGAUGACGGUACCUUGCGAACAAGUCCCGGCUAACUACGUG
This 467-nucleotide ribosomal RNA is filed under the name uncultured bacterium. RNAcentral's name for it is "bacterial SSU rRNA". It matches the Rfam family "Bacterial small subunit ribosomal RNA", at positions 28 to 507 of the family's 1533-position model. The record is from RNAcentral.